AAUAACUAAGAUUAAUGAUAUUAAAUAGUAAUUUGAGCUCAAUUCGAAUUACAAAAUGUUUUGUCUGCUAUAUUUGGACUGUUGCCAUUGAAUUUCAAAACUAUGUAAAGUACUAUUAUACCUUAAAAGAAUAGUAUUAUACCCUAGUAGAGUAAGAUACAUGGCAGGCUGUUGAGUGGCAUAUGGUUAACCCUUCUUAGAUCCCUUGUUGGAUUAGCUUGUGGACGAUCCAUAACUCACUUCUUUUGAUGUACCCUCGUAUGACCACUAAAGUUUAACCAUUUCUACAAUCUUUAAACUAGGUGUCAGAGCAAGAUAACCUAUGACACAAGUGGGAUCACGCAACACAUACCAUGGUGACAACUAACUUGUAAUGACAAUGUUCAUUAGGCACUUGACCACAGACACCUGGCUUGCCUGCACAAUCAUGCAGGCCAUUGUAUGGAUCACCACGUGGCACUACGAUAUAGGGAGCAAUCCAUUAAUAAGAUUAAAGAAAAAAAAGCCUUUAAUUACCUUGAUUAAAACUUAUGACUUCGACUGAUGAAAAAUCGACGAACAAAAAAAAAGGACAGUGGAAAAAAAUAGAUAAUUUCAAAAACAAAGAAAC
Molecule: long non-coding RNA, 610 nt
Filed under: Gossypium barbadense (sea-island cotton)
Lineage: Eukaryota; Viridiplantae; Streptophyta; Magnoliopsida; Malvales; Malvaceae
Description: long non-coding RNA (GBAR_LNC017775)
Source: RNAcentral